Orbicella faveolata is the source of this 938-nucleotide long non-coding RNA. RefSeq lists it as uncharacterized. The record is from RefSeq and is a predicted model, not a curated record. Lineage: Eukaryota; Metazoa; Cnidaria; Anthozoa; Scleractinia; Merulinidae.
UUGAAAACUGCUCUAAUUAAUCAAUUAAAUAAUUAAUUGAUUUAAUUAAUUACCCUGGCCCAAAUAAACAACAAUGACAAGAAUCCGUUAGAAAAAUGCCGCUGACGCACAGUCGCAGUGAUGUAUCCAAGUACUGGGUAUAUCCCUAGCCUGUUCGCUGACCCGCCCGCCCGCUUUUUCGAUCGUCACUACAGACCGAGAGCCUGGAACAGGCUAGGGACCCAAAACUCGAGGAUACCCAAAUCACUGGUGUGACACUGUAGGACCCUGUAGCCUGCAUAGCAGGCGCGACAUAGAGCGGGGAUAGAAGGAGGGGCGCAAGCUACGCUUUUCGUCGAAGCGAAGACCCUGGAGACGAGAGCCGAGUGGCCAAGCCCCCUCUAUAAAACUUUGUGGGAAAUUCAAAAUGGCGGCGCGGUGGAAGACCUUGUGUGGCGAAUCGUGUGGCGCUGUAUAUCAUGUAUUGAGUGAUAAAGCUAUGUUCUGCAGCAACUACAUAAAAUAAAUCAAAGAAAAUUUUUAUGAGGGUCAGCACAACAGACUAACAGAUCUCAUCUUGGGAAAAGAACCCUUUCAAGUAACAUGCUGAACUUUACUUCAAGGCAUUCUGAUUCCCUGAAUCAAAGUGAUGACUGUAGAACUUGUCACUUGCACAUCUAAGCACAGAUCAGAUGCCAACUGGGACAAAGUGGACCAAAGCUUCAAGCAGUCAUCUUCAGAAGGGCUGUGUGCUUUAUUUUGCAUCCAUCUAUUGGGGGAACCAGGUAAACAAAACUCUUGAAUAAGCCAAGUUCUGCCCUGCUUAACUGAAUUCAGUUUUUCAAUGUACACUGUAUUCUUCUGUGGUUGAUUUGCACAAUGAAUAGAAAAACUCUCAUGACACACUUUUUGUCGGUAAAGUUUUAAACCCAUCAUGACUUACUGACUGACUGACUGAU